UACGGAGGGGGCAAGCGUUGUUCGGAAUUAUUGGGCGUAAAGCGUAUGUAGGCGGUUGAACAAGUCAGACGUGUAAGCCCUCGGCUCAACCGAGGAAUUGCGUUUGAAACUGUUUAACUUGAGUUCGGGAGAGGAAAGCGGAAUUCCCAGUGUAGCGGUGAAAUGCAUUGAUAUUGGGAAGAACAUCGGUGGCGAAGGCGGCUUUCUGGCCUGUUACUGACGCUGAGAUACGAAAGCUAGGGGAGCGAACGGG
This 253-nucleotide ribosomal RNA is filed under the name uncultured bacterium. Its description in RNAcentral is "partial 16S ribosomal RNA". It matches the Rfam family "Bacterial small subunit ribosomal RNA", at positions 524 to 776 of the family's 1533-position model. The record is from RNAcentral.